CUCGGUGUAAGUUGCACUUUACCAGGUUAAAGGUAUUGGUGGGCCCCAUGGUCAAUCAACAGUCUUGGACAUAGAAAAUGUAUUUUGGACCAAAACCGGUCAACAGAAACAGUAAAAUGCCAUACCUAACAUAGAUUUAAACAAACAUCCAUAUUACCUUUCUAUCUGCUAAUUGAUUACAUGUAAAGAUCCACCAUUUUCAUAAUCGUUCAUAGAUUUCUUGAUUG
This 227-nucleotide long non-coding RNA is filed under the name Helianthus annuus (common sunflower). RNAcentral describes it as "hypothetical non coding rna". Lineage: Eukaryota; Viridiplantae; Streptophyta; Magnoliopsida; Asterales; Asteraceae. The record is from RNAcentral.